GUAGGUGGCGAGCGUUAUCCGGAAUGAUUGGGCGUAAAGGGUGCGUAGGUGGCAGAACAAGUCUGGAGUAAAAGGUAUGGGCUCAACCCGUACUGGCUCUGGAAACUGUUCAGCUAGAGAACAGAAGAGGACGGCGGAACUCCAUGUGUAGCGGUAAAAUGCGUAGAUAUAUGGAAGAACACCGGUGGCGAAGGCGGCCGUCUGGUCUGUUGCUGACACUGAAGCACGAAAGUGUGGGGAGCAAAUAGGAUUAGAUACCCUAGUAGUCCACGCCGUAAACGAUGAGAACUAGGUGUUGGGGGAAUAACUCAGUGCCGCAGUUAACGCAAUAAGUUCUCCGCCUGGGGAGU
RNAcentral lists this ribosomal RNA (350 nucleotides) under uncultured bacterium. RNAcentral describes it as "bacterial SSU rRNA". It matches the Rfam family "Bacterial small subunit ribosomal RNA", at positions 527 to 881 of the family's 1533-position model. The record is from RNAcentral.